RNAcentral lists this transfer RNA (82 nucleotides) under Thermoplasmata archaeon. Its description in RNAcentral is "tRNA-Ser". It matches the Rfam family "tRNA". Rfam says of the family: Transfer RNA (tRNA) molecules are approximately 80 nucleotides in length. Their secondary structure includes four short double-helical elements and three loops (D, anti-codon, and T loops). RNAcentral also lists the same sequence under 3 other names. The record is from RNAcentral. Lineage: Archaea; Methanobacteriati; Thermoplasmatota; Thermoplasmata.
GCGGGGAUAGCCUAGCGGUAGGGCGACGGCCUGCUAAGCCGUUAUCCGAAAGGAUUCGAGGGUUCGAAUCCCUCUCCCCGCG